Molecule: ribosomal RNA, 440 nt
Filed under: uncultured bacterium
Lineage: Bacteria
Description: partial 16S ribosomal RNA
Rfam family: Bacterial small subunit ribosomal RNA
Source: RNAcentral
CCUACGGGUGGCAGCAGUGGGGAAUAUUGGACAAUGGGGGGAACCCUGAUGCAGCGACGCCGCGUGAGUGAAGAAGUAUUUCGGUUUGUAAAGCUCUAUCAGCAGGGAAGAAAAUGACGGUACCUGACUAAGAAGCCCCGGCCAACUACGUGCCAGCAGCCGCGGUAAUACGUAGGGGGCAAGCGGUAUCCGGAUUUAAUGGGUGGAAAGGGUGCGUAGACGGUGGAGCAAGUCUGUUGUGAAAGUUCCGGGCCCAACCGAGGGACUGCAUUUGAAACUGGUUCACUGGAGUACAGGAGAGGUAAGCGGAAUUCCGAGUGUAGCGGUGAAAUGCGUAGAUAUUAGGAGGAACACCAGUUGCGAAGGCGGCUUACUGGACAGUAACUGACGUUGAGGCUCGAAAGCGUGGGGAGCAAACAGGAUUAGAUACCCGAGUAGUC